Molecule: non-coding RNA, 295 nt
Organism: Paramuricea clavata
Lineage: Eukaryota; Metazoa; Cnidaria; Anthozoa; Malacalcyonacea; Plexauridae
Source: the annotation of a GenBank genome assembly
CCUGUCUUCCUACUUCUUUAUUAUGAUCAUCCAUAAGAAGUUUCUCAGCACGUUGUGCGUUAGUGCUGCCAUUCAAUUUCUCCAGGACUUUGGGAUCAUCCAGAAACUUCUUGGAAAAGUCUGAAGCAUAUUGAAUGUUAUCUCCAAAAACUCUCCAACCUCCACUGAACAAUUGUGGUCGUUUUUCCCGACUACAAUGACAACUCGGCAAGUCUCCUUUCAUACAAUUUUUUGCAAUUACGUGAACAAUGCCAGCAGUAACCAAGGCGUAAUUGAAAGCGGCUUCUUUAGUUGC